RNAcentral lists this long non-coding RNA (545 nucleotides) under Homo sapiens (human). Its description in RNAcentral is "HSALNT0335061". Lineage: Eukaryota; Metazoa; Chordata; Mammalia; Primates; Hominidae. The record is from RNAcentral.
UCCUCAUUUGCCUUCUCUUCUGACUAGAUGUUCAUCUUUCUGGAGGCAUCUGCCAGUCUCUGGGGUCUCUUAGUCCUCAGGAGUAAAGACAGAAAGCGUCAUGUUCCUGCAAAGAGAAAAAUAAGGAAAAAAUCUGCAAAACAUUGAAGACUCAUGACCCACUUUAAAAACAUAACUGGAUACAUCACAUGAACUCAAGACCAUGACUAUGGAGGAAGAUUUAACACUUGGCAACUCUUACAACAACAACAACAGCAACAGGGAAAAACAACAACAACAACAACCGAAGAGUGCAAAAAGAACUAAUGCAUUCUCUAGGUAUGCCUGGAUGGAGCCUCUAAGACCUAACAGGAUGUCUGAGAUUCCAGGGAAGUGGCCUGUGAUCUGUCAGUAAACAAAUAAGAAGCUAAUACAGCUUUGUUGUGUUUUCUGAUUGGCAUGGUUCUGAACUAUCUCCUACUUGUAGUUGCAGACAAAGAAACAGGAGAUGAAUUACCAUGUUCUAGGACUUUGUGUUCCUUUCCAAUUCAAACUGCAAUAAGAAA